UACCAGCUCUCCGAGUUGUAGGGAUGAUUAUUGGGCUUAAAGCGUCCGUAGCUGGCUUAGCAAGUCUCCUGUUAAAUUCAGCGACCUAAUCGUUGAGCCGCGGGAGAUACUAUUAGGCUAGGAGGCGGGAGAGGUCGACGGUACUUUCGGGGUAGGGGUGAAAUCCUAUAAUCCCGGGAGGACCACCAGUGGCGAAGGCUGUCGACUAGAACGCGCUCGACGGUGAGGGACGAAAGCUGGGGGAGCGAACCGGAUUAGAUACCCGGGUAGUCCCAGCUGUAAACUAUGCGGGCUAGGUGUUGGGGUGGCUACGGGCCACUUCAGUGCCGCAGGAAAGCCAUUAAGCCCGCCGCCUGGGGAGUACGGCCGCAAGGCUAGAAACUUAAAGGAAUUGGCGGGGGAGCACCACGAGGCGUGAAGCUUGCGGUUC
Molecule: ribosomal RNA, 430 nt
Filed under: uncultured archaeon
Lineage: Archaea
Description: bacterial SSU rRNA
Rfam family: Archaeal small subunit ribosomal RNA
Source: RNAcentral